GAUCAAACCAGCAGCUGGAACUAGAAUCACGAUCCAGACUCCUAUCGGAAUGGCAGCAAUGAGGAAUUUUGCACAAUCGGGGAAACCCCUGAACGCAGCAAUCGCCGCGUAAGUGAUSAAUGGCUUUCGGGUCGUAAAGCUCUAGAUCGAGUGGGAAGAAGAUUGUGCAAGCUUAAGUGGGCGCUGUAUUAUAGGCCGGUACCCAACUAAAGGAAGACACUCUUU
RNAcentral lists this ribosomal RNA (225 nucleotides) under uncultured delta proteobacterium. Its description in RNAcentral is "partial 16S ribosomal RNA". The record is from RNAcentral. Lineage: Bacteria; Deltaproteobacteria.